GAAGAGGAGCUUGCGGCAGAUUAGCUUGUUGGUAAGGUAACGGCUUACCAAGGCUACGAUCUGUAACCGGUCUAAGAGGACGGUCGGUCACACUGACACUGAAUAACGGGUCAGACUCCUACGGGAGGCAGCAGUCGGGAAUUUUGGGCAAUGGGGGAAACCCUGACCCAGCAACGCCGCGUGAAGGAUGAAGUAUUUCGGUAUGUAAACUUCGAAAGAAUAGGAAGAAUAAAUGACGGUACUAUUUAUAAGGUCCGGCUAACUACGUGCCAGCAGCCGCGGUAAUACGUAGGGACCAAGCGUUGUUCGGAUUUACUGGGCGUAAAGGGCGCGUAGGCGGCAUUGUUAGUCACUUGUGAAAUCUCCGGGCUUAACUCGGAACGGCCAAGUGAUACUGCAGUGCUAGAGUGCGGAAGGGGCAAUCGGAAUUCUUGGUGUAGCGGUGAAAUGCGUAGAUAUCAAGAGGAACACCAGAGGUGAAGACGGGUUGCUGGGCCGACACUGACGCUGAGCGCGAAAGCCAGGGGAGCAAACGGGAUUAGAUACCCCGGUAGUCCUGGCCCUAACGAUGAGUACUUGGUGUCUGGAGUUAUUAGUGCUCCGGGUGCCGUCGCUAACGUUUUUAGUAUUCCGCCUGGGGAGUACGGUCGCAGACUGAAACUCAAGGAAUUGACGGGGACCCGCACAAGCGGUGGAGCAUGUGGUUCAAUUCGACGCAACGCGAAGAACCUUACCUAGGUUAGAAUGUGAGGGAAGAAAGGGUAAUACCGAUCGUCUGGGAAACCAGACCCAAAACAAGGUGCUGCAUGGCUGUCGUCAGCUCGUGUCGUGAGAUGUUGGGUUAAGUCCCGCAACGAGCGCAACCCUUAUCAAUAGUUGCCAUCAUUAAGUUGGGCACUCUAUUGAGACUGCC
This 913-nucleotide ribosomal RNA is filed under the name uncultured Acidobacteriota bacterium. RNAcentral describes it as "bacterial SSU rRNA". It matches the Rfam family "Bacterial small subunit ribosomal RNA", at positions 221 to 1153 of the family's 1533-position model. Lineage: Bacteria; Pseudomonadati; Acidobacteriota. The record is from RNAcentral.